RNAcentral lists this ribosomal RNA (1276 nucleotides) under Salmonella enterica. RNAcentral describes it as "partial 23S ribosomal RNA". It matches the Rfam family "Bacterial large subunit ribosomal RNA", at positions 337 to 1616 of the family's 2925-position model. The record is from RNAcentral. Lineage: Bacteria; Pseudomonadati; Pseudomonadota; Gammaproteobacteria; Enterobacterales; Enterobacteriaceae.
AGCGUCUGGAAAGGCGCGCGAUACAGGGUGACAGCCCCGUACACAAAAGCGCAUGUGCUGUGAGCUCGAUGAGUAGGGCGGGACACGUGGUAUCCUGUCUGAAUAUGGGGGGACCAUCCUCCAAGGCUAAAUACUCCUGACUGACCGAUAGUGAACCAGUACCGUGAGGGAAAGGCGAAAAGAACCCCGGCGAGGGGAGUGAAAAAGAACCUGAAACCGUGUACGUACAAGCAGUGGGAGCACAGGUUUACCUGUGUGACUGCGUACCUUUUGUAUAAUGGGUCAGCGACUUAUAUUCUGUAGCAAGGUUAACCGAAUAGGGGAGCCGGAGGGAAACCGAGUCUUAACCGGGCGUUAAGUUGCAGGGUAUAGACCCGAAACCCGGUGAUCUAGCCAUGGGCAGGUUGAAGGUUGGGUAACACUAACUGGAGGACCGAACCGACUAAUGUUGAAAAAUUAGCGGAUGACCUGUGGCUGGGGGUGAAAGGCCAAUCAAACCGGGAGAUAGCUGGUUCUCCCCGAAAGCUAUUUAGGUAGCGCCUCGUGAAUUCAUCUCCGGGGGUAGAGCACUGUUUCGGCUAGGGGGCCAUCCCGGCUUACCAACCCGAUGCAAACUGCGAAUACCGGAGAAUGUUAUCACGGGAGACACACGGCGGGUGCUAACGUCCGUCGUGAAGAGGGAAACAACCCAGACCGCCAGCUAAGGUCCCAAAGUCAUGGUUAAGUGGGAAACGAUGUGGGAAGGCCCAGACAGCCAGGAUGUUGGCUUAGAAGCAGCCAUCAUUUAAAGAAAGCGUAAUAGCUCACUGGUCGAGUCGGCCUGCGCGGAAGAUGUAACGGGGCUAAACCAUGCACCGAAGCUGCGGCAGCGACACUGUGUGUUGUUGGGUAGGGGAGCGUUCUGUAAGCCUGUGAAGGUGUGUCGUGAGGCAUGCUGGAGGUAUCAGAAGUGCGAAUGCUGACAUAAGUAACGAUAAAGCGGGUGAAAAGCCCGCUCGCCGGAAGACCAAGGGUUCCUGUCCAACGUUAAUCGGGGCAGGGUGAGUCGACCCCUAAGGCGAGGCCGAAAGGCGUAGUCGAUGGGAAACGGGUUAAUAUUCCCGUACUUGGUGUUACUGCGAAGGGGGGACGGAGAAGGCUAUGUUGGCCGGGCGACGGUUGUCCCGGUUUAAGCGUGUAGGUGUGUGUUCCAGGUAAAUCCGGUUCACUUUAACACUGAGGCGUGACGACGAGGCACUACGGUGCUGAAGCAACAAAUGCCCUGCUUCCAGGAAAA